This 428-nucleotide ribosomal RNA is filed under the name uncultured prokaryote. Its description in RNAcentral is "bacterial SSU rRNA". It matches the Rfam family "Bacterial small subunit ribosomal RNA", at positions 355 to 774 of the family's 1533-position model. The record is from RNAcentral.
UGGGGAAUAUUGCGCAAUGGGCGAAAGCCUGACGCAGCAACGCCGUGUGAGGGAUGAAGGCUUUCGGGUCGUAAACCUCUGUCGGAAGGGAAGAACGGGCAAUGGUCUAAUAGGCCGUUGUUUUGACGGUACCUUUAGAGGAAGCACCGGCUAACUCCGUGCCAGCAGCCGCGGUAAUACGGGGGGUGCAAGCGUUAUUCGGAAUUACUGGGCGUAAAGCGCACGUAGGCCGCUUUGUAAGUCAGGGGUGAAAUCCCACGGCUCAACCGUGGAACUGCCUUUGAAACGGCAGAGCUUGAAUCCUGGAGAGGGUGGCGGAAUUCCUGGUGUAGGAGUGAAAUCCGUAGAUAUCAGGAGGAACACCGGUGGCGAAGGCGGCCACCUGGACAGGUAUUGACGCUGAGGUGCGAAAGUGUGGGGAGCAAACA